AGCGAACGCUGGCGGCAGGCCUAACACAUGCAAGUCGAACGAACUCUUCGGAGUUAGUGGCGGACGGGUGAGUAACACGUGGGAACGUGCCUUUAGGUUCGGAAUAACUCAGGGAAACUUGUGCUAAUACCGAAUGUGCCCUUCGGGGGAAAGAUUUAUCGCCUUUAGAGGGGCCCGCGUCUGAUUAGCUUGUUGGUGAGGUAAAGGCUCACUAAGGCGACGAUCAGUAGCUGGUUUGAGAGGAUGGUCAGCCACAUUGGGACUGAGACACGGCCCAAACUCCUACGGGAGGCAGCAGUGGGGAAUCUUGCGCAAUGGGCGAAAGCCUGACGCAGCCAUGCCGCGUGAAUGAUGAAGGUCUUAGGAUUGUAAAAUUCUUUCACCGGGGACGAUAAUGACGGUACCCGGAGAAGAAGCCCCGGCUAACUUCGUG
This 433-nucleotide ribosomal RNA is filed under the name uncultured bacterium. RNAcentral's name for it is "partial 16S ribosomal RNA". It matches the Rfam family "Bacterial small subunit ribosomal RNA", at positions 29 to 507 of the family's 1533-position model. The record is from RNAcentral.